GGGGUCACUUUGUAAAAACACAAAAGUCACUACUUCAUGUAAAUACAACUAGAACCCAAAAUUUAAAUAAAUUCAAAAACUUCAUUAAAGGAGCAAAACAAUUUGUCCUUUAGCGUUUUUAGGCCUUAACGUCAAAACGUAAACUUUCGGGUCAAAGUACAAAUACACAAAAGUAUCAAAACUUUAUGUAAUUGCAUAAAAGCCCCAAAAUUACCCUAUUUUAUUAGGGUGGCCGGUUUUUAGGGAUAAAAAGGAGUGGUGGGUGUUUUGAUUUAUUAGUUUUGUCAAAAACAAUCAAGUAGUGCUUUCACCUUUCAUAAAAAUAAUAUAUGUUUUGAUGAUUGAUGUUUCCAUCAUCAUUUAUACAAAUAUUUAACACUUUAAAU
This 386-nucleotide long non-coding RNA is filed under the name Malus domestica (apple). RNAcentral describes it as "long non-coding RNA (MDOM_LNC003817)". The record is from RNAcentral. Lineage: Eukaryota; Viridiplantae; Streptophyta; Magnoliopsida; Rosales; Rosaceae.